AUCAGCAAUGACCUCGCGCGGUUGGAUGGACCGAUGUUCGAUUAGCUAGUUGGUGAGGUAAUGGCUCACCAAGGCGACGAUCGAUAGCUGGUCUGAGAGGAUGAUCAGCCACACUGGGACUGAGACACGGCCCAGACUCCUACGGGAGGCAGCAGUGGGGAAUAUUGGACAAUGGGCGCAAGCCUGAUCCAGCAAUGCCGCGUGUGUGAAGAAGGCCUUCGGGUUGUAAAGCACUUUUAUCAGGAGCGAAAUACCACGGGUUAAUACCCUAUGGGGCUGACGGUACCUGAGGAAUAAGCACCGGCUAACUUCGUGCCAGCAGCCGCGGUAAUACGAAGGGUGCAAGCGUUAAUCGGAAUUACUGGGCGUAAAGCGUGCGUAGGCGGUUGUUUAAGUCUGCUGUGAAAUCCCCGGGCUCAACCUGGGAAUGGCAGUGGAUACUGGACAGCUAGAGUGUGAUAGAGGAUGGUGGAAUUCCCGGUGUAGCGGUGAAAUGCGUAGAGAUCGGGAGGAACAUCAGUGGCGAAGGCGGCCAUCU
RNAcentral lists this ribosomal RNA (538 nucleotides) under Dyella sp. RNAcentral describes it as "bacterial SSU rRNA". It matches the Rfam family "Bacterial small subunit ribosomal RNA", at positions 197 to 730 of the family's 1533-position model. The record is from RNAcentral. Lineage: Bacteria; Pseudomonadati; Pseudomonadota; Gammaproteobacteria; Lysobacterales; Rhodanobacteraceae.